This 2202-nucleotide ribosomal RNA is filed under the name Streptococcus vestibularis. RNAcentral describes it as "partial 23S ribosomal RNA". It matches the Rfam family "Bacterial large subunit ribosomal RNA", at positions 1 to 2228 of the family's 2925-position model. The record is from RNAcentral. Lineage: Bacteria; Bacillati; Bacillota; Bacilli; Lactobacillales; Streptococcaceae.
GGUUAAGCGACUAAGCGUACACGGUGGAUGCCCUGGCAGUCAGAGGCGAUGAAGGACGUGCUAAUCUGCGAUAAGCGUCGGUGAGGUGAUAUGAACCGUUAUAACCGGCGAUUUCCGAAUGGGGAAACCCAGUGUGUUUCGACACACUAUCAUUAACUGAAUCCAUAGGUUAAUGAGGCGAACCGGGGGAACUGAAACAUCUAAGUACCCCGAGGAAAAGAAAUCAACCGAGAUUCCCCCAGUAGCGGCGAGCGAACGGGGAGGAGCCCAGAGCCUGAAUCAGUGUGUGUGUUAGUGGAAGCGUCUGGAAAGGCGCGCGAUACAGGGUGACAGCCCCGUACACAAAAAUGCACAUAUUGUGAGCUCGAUGAGUAGGGCGGGACACGUGGUAUCCUGUCUGAAUAUGGGGGGACCAUCCUCCAAGGCUAAAUACUCCUGACUGACCGAUAGUGAACCAGUACCGUGAGGGAAAGGCGAAAAGAACCCCGGCGAGGGGAGUGAAAAAGAACCUGAAACCGUGUACGUACAAGCAGUGGGAGCCUCUUAAUGGGGUGACUGCGUACCUUUUGUAUAAUGGGUCAGCGACUUAUAUUCUGUAGCAAGGUUAACCGAAUAGGGGAGCCGAAGGGAAACCGAGUCUUAACUGGGCGUUAAGUUGCAGGGUAUAGACCCGAAACCCGGUGAUCUAGCCAUGGGCAGGUUGAAGGUUGGGUAACACUAACUGGAGGACCGAACCGACUAAUGUUGAAAAAUUAGCGGAUGACUUGUGGCUGGGGGUGAAAGGCCAAUCAAACCGGGAGAUAGCUGGUUCUCCCCGAAAGCUAUUUAGGUAGCGCCUCGUGAAUUCAUCUCCGGGGGUAGAGCACUGUUUCGGCAAGGGGGUCAUCCCGACUUACCAACCCGAUGCAAACUACGAAUACCGAAGAAUGUUAUCACGGGAGACACACGGCGGGUGCUAACGUCCGUCGUGAAGAGGGAAACAACCCAGACCGCCAGCUAAGGUCCCAAAGUCAUGGUUAAGUGGGAAACGAUGUGGGAAGGCCCAGACAGCCAGGAUGUUGGCUUAGAAGCAGCCAUCAUUUAAAGAAAGCGUAAUAGCUCACUGGUCGAGUCGGCCUGCGCGGAAGAUGUAACGGGGCUAAACCAUGCACCGAAGCUGCGGCAGCGACACUAUGUGUUGUUGGGUAGGGGAGCGUUCUGUAAGCCGUUGAAGGUGGCCUGUGAGGGUUGCUGGAGGUAUCAGAAGUGCGAAUGCUGACAUAAGUAACGAUAAUGCGGGUGAAAAACCCGCACGCCGGAAGACCAAGGGUUCCUGUCCAACGUUAAUCGGGGCAGGGUGAGUCGACCCCUAAGGCGAGGCCGAAAGGCGUAGUCGAUGGGAAACAGGUUAAUAUUCCUGUACUUGGUGUUACUGCGAAGGGGGGACGGAGAAGGCUAUGUUGGCCGGGCGACGGUUGUCCCGGUUUAAGCGUGUAGGCUGGUUUUCCAGGCAAAUCCGGAAAACCAAGGCUGAGGCGUGAUGACGAGGCACUACGGUGCUGAAGUGACAAAUGCCCUGCUUCCAGGAAAAGCCUCUAAGCAUCAGGUAACAUCAAAUCGUACCCCAAACCGACACAGGUGGUCAGGUAGAGAAUACCAAGGCGCUUGAGAGAACUCGGGUGAAGGAACUAGGCAAAAUGGUGCCGUAACUUCGGGAGAAGGCACGCUGAUAUGUAGGUGAAGCGACUUGCUCGUGGAGCUGAAAUCAGUCGAAGAUACCAGCUGGCUGCAACUGUUUAUUAAAAACACAGCACUGUGCAAACACGAAAGUGGACGUAUACGGUGUGACGCCUGCCCGGUGCCGGAAGGUUAAUUGAUGGGGUUAGCGGUAACGCGAAGCUCUUGAUCGAAGCCCCGGUAAACGGCGGCCGUAACUAUAACGGUCCUAAGGUAGCGAAAUUCCUUGUCGGGUAAGUUCCGACCUGCACGAAUGGCGUAAUGAUGGCCAGGCUGUCUCCACCCGAGACUCAGUGAAAUUGAACUCGCUGUGAAGAUGCAGUGUACCCGCGGCAAGACGGAAAGACCCCGUGAACCUUUACUAUAGCUUGACACUGAACAUUGAGCCUUGAUGUGUAGGAUAGGUGGGAGGCUUUGAAGUGUGGACGCCAGUCUGCAUGGAGCCGACCUUGAAAUACCACCCUUUAAUGUUUGAUGUUCUAACGU